UAAUACGGAGGGUCCAAGCGUUGUCCGGAAUCACUGGGUGUAAAGGGUGCGCAGGCGGGCUUAUAAGUCAGGGGUGAAAGCCACCGGCUCAACCGGUGAAUUGCCCUUGAUACUGUAAGUCUUGAGUCCUGGAGGGGCUGUCGGAAUUCGUGGUGUAGCGGUGAAAUGCGUAGAUAUCACGAGGAACACCGGAGGUGUAAACGGACAGCUGGACAGGUACUGACGCUCAGGCACGAAAGCGUGGGGAGCGAACAGGAUUAGAUACCCUGGUAGUCCACGCCGUAAACGAUGAGUGCUCGAUGCUGCAUCGCUCUAGAUGCAGUGUCUAAGCUAACGCGUUAAGCACUCCACCUGGGGAGUACGCUCGCAAGGGUG
Molecule: ribosomal RNA, 375 nt
Filed under: uncultured bacterium
Lineage: Bacteria
Description: bacterial SSU rRNA
Rfam family: Bacterial small subunit ribosomal RNA
Source: RNAcentral